RNAcentral lists this transfer-messenger RNA (389 nucleotides) under Comamonadaceae bacterium OS-1. Its description in RNAcentral is "transcriptional activator NphR". It matches the Rfam family "transfer-messenger RNA". From Rfam's summary of the family: Bacterial tmRNA, also known as 10Sa RNA or SsrA, is named for its dual tRNA and mRNA-like properties. Its role is to liberate the mRNA from a stalled ribosome. To accomplish this part of the tmRNA is used as a reading frame that ends in a translation stop signal. Lineage: Bacteria; Pseudomonadati; Pseudomonadota; Betaproteobacteria; Burkholderiales; Comamonadaceae. The record is from RNAcentral.
GGGGCUGCACUGGUUUCGACGUGGGUUCGGACGCGCAGCAGGGCAUGUCGAGGUUCUGUCACCUCGUAAAACAGCAGAAAAAACCUAACUGCAAACGACGAACGUUUCGCACUCGCCGCUUAAUUGCGCGUGAGCCUCGCAACAGCAAGCCAAUAGGCUGGGCAAGGGUGGUGGAGCCGCAAGGUUGCACCGUCCAGGCUGCGGGGUAACUUCAUUUGGCUGGGCGCUCACUGGGUAACUUAGUGGGCUCCGAGAAAAUAGGUUACUGGCGUUUUGCAUAGCGUGCCACUGCGCGAUGCAAAAGGCGAGACUUAAACCAGACGGCUACACAUGUAGAACUGUUCGAAGAAGGCUUGCGGACGGGGGUUCAAAUCCCCCCAGCUCCACCA